Molecule: ribosomal RNA, 301 nt
Filed under: uncultured bacterium
Lineage: Bacteria
Description: bacterial SSU rRNA
Rfam family: Bacterial small subunit ribosomal RNA
Source: RNAcentral
AAUCAACGCUGGCGGCGUGCCUCAGACAUGCAAGUCGAACGCGAAAGUUUCCUCGGGAGAUGAGUAGAGUGGCGCACGGGUGAGUAACACGUGAGUAAUUUACCUCGGGUGGGGAAUACUAACCGGAAACGGUUGUUAAUACCGCAUAAUGCAGCGGCAUCAAUGAUGACAGUUGUUAAAGCGGGGAUUGGAGCAAUCCGACCUCGCGCCUGAAGAGAAGCUCGCGGCAGAUUAGCUAGUUGGUAAGGUAAUGGCUUACCAAGGCGACGAUCUGUAACCGGCCUGAGAGGGCGGUCGGUCA